Molecule: ribosomal RNA, 789 nt
Filed under: Salmonella enterica subsp. enterica
Lineage: Bacteria; Pseudomonadati; Pseudomonadota; Gammaproteobacteria; Enterobacterales; Enterobacteriaceae
Description: bacterial LSU rRNA
Rfam family: Bacterial large subunit ribosomal RNA
Source: RNAcentral
GGGUUGUGAGGUUAAGCGACUAAGCGUACACGGUGGAUGCCCUGGCAGUCAGAGGCGAUGAAGGGCGUGCUAAUCUGCGAUAAGCGCCGGUAAGGUGAUAUGAACCGUUAUAACCGGCGAUUUCCGAAUGGGGAAACCCAGUGUGACUCGUCACACUAUCAUUAACUGAAUCCAUAGGUUAAUGAGGCGAACCGGGGGAACUGAAACAUCUAAGUACCCCGAGGAAAAGAAAUCAACCGAGAUUCCCCCAGUAGCGGCGAGCGAACGGGGAGGAGCCCAGAGCCUGAAUCAGCAUGUGUGUUAGUGGAAGCGUCUGGAAAGGCGCGCGAUACAGGGUGACAGCCCCGUACACAAAAGCGCAUGUGCUGUGAGCUCGAUGAGUAGGGCGGGACACGUGGUAUCCUGUCUGAAUAUGGGGGGACCAUCCUCCAAGGCUAAAUACUCCUGACUGACCGAUAGUGAACCAGUACCGUGAGGGAAAGGCGAAAAGAACCCCGGCGAGGGGAGUGAAAAAGAACCUGAAACCGUGUACGUACAAGCAGUGGGAGCCCCACCACUAAGCCAGUGGUGAACUCCACAUACGCAUCCUUUGCUGAGGAUGCGGUUAACGGAGCGAAAGCGACGUUCAACCGCAAAAGAAGCAGAGGGGGCUUAGUGGUGGGGUGACUGCGUACCUUUUGUAUAAUGGGUCAGCGACUUAUAUUCUGUAGCAAGGUUAACCGAAUAGGGGAGCCGGAGGGAAACCGAGUCUUAACCGGGCGUUAAGUUGCAGGGUAUAGACCCGAAACC